GGGGGGGUGUGUGGGGGGGUGUGUGUGUGGGGGGGUGUGUGGAUGGAUGGAUGGAUGGGUCCUAUCUCGCCCACCCAGAUGUGUGCAGUUAGCUAGAGAAGCGAUGGCGUCGGGUCUGUGGCCCCAGCUGUUGGCCCUCUUUUGUAGAGAUUAGCCAUAAAGGAUGGUGCUCAUGGGAGCGUGUGUGUACACACACACACACGCACACUCUCACACUCGUGUGCGCACACACUUACCACCUCUUUUCUCUCAUGUUGCCCUGUUCAUUAGAGUGGGGUAAUUUACACAUAAUUGUCACAUCAUUUUUGUCUGUGUGCUCGCCCACUGGUGUUCAUUUCCCUGGCCAUUGAAUUAACACAAAGAGUACGGAGCAACACAACAAAGAGGCCUUCCAAGUAGUGAUUGUGUGGGUGUGUGUGUGAGAGAGCGAGUGAGAGAGAGAGCGACCGAUCUAAGCGUGAAUGUCACUGGUCUUUGUUGCAUUCUCUCUCCCUCCCCUUCGUGUUGCUUCCUCUCUCUCUUUGUUUCUGAGGUGUGUGACUGAAUAGAUGGACCCCUUAUGUUCAUCACCGGUGGGUGAGGUUGGCACUACUGAAUUGACAGGUCCCCUAUGUUCAUCACUGGUGGGUGAGGUUGGCACUACUGAAUUGACAGGUCCCCUAUGUUCAUCACUGGUGGGUGAGGUUGGUGCUACUGAGCCAAAAGAGGGCACUGAAAGUACAAGAGCACAAAGGGAGAUGUGGAUCACGUCUGGAGAUUAGUCAUAGAAAAACAACCAAACAAAGCAAAAACAAACUUGUUUUGCUCGAGAGUUCAAGGAGAGAAGCAUCCUCAUCAACAUAUCUGCUUGGCUAUAUAUUGGUAGUCCCCCCCCCCCACACACACACACUUUAUACCUUAAUUAGCCUAGUUAGUGAGCUUGAUUUUAGCAAGGUGUUUGAAUCCAUCUCCAUGUUUUGAUUUUUUUUUCUUCUUUUUUACCUUCAUCGAGAGGUCGUGCUGCAUAAAACAUCAAUAUGAAGAGCAUCGGGCAUUCCUAUGCAGUCUUGACUCGAUGUCUGUCUUCUCUCUGGCUACAAGCUGUUAGUUUCAUCGCUUGAGCUGAGCAUUUGCAAUCAUUUGCCUCGAGUAAAUCACAGCAGCAUAAAACUGUCAUGAAAAAGAAAACUAGAAUCGAUGUGCUUUUAAUGGAAGCCUCAGGAAUGUCUUAAUGAAUGAAACAGUGAGAUGAGCUGUUAUCAUUGGGGCCCUGGGUUUCGUGACCCCAUUGAUAUUAUGCCGUUGGCCUUUGUGUCAUUGCAACAUUUCAGUUCAUUGUUACGACCUUUUCAAUGCAAGCCCUGUUAUGUGAAUCAGAAUCAGUGGGGAUUUAAAAAAUGUGUUUUUAUGAAUGUACUCCAAUCAAAGCAAAAAUUGUCUGAAAUCGAUACAUAUCGGCGUAUCCAUAAUCGAACCUAAUCAAACGGUGAUGAGUAAUGCGCUGCAGGUCUUUGACUGUAGGUUGACUGCUUUCCUUAAUGUUGUUAUCCUUUUUUUUCUAUUUGAUCUUGAAGAUGUGCAUAUCAGGUCUUUACUGUUCUCUUGAUGCUUCUUGAUUUAUUCUAUUUAUAUAUUCAUACAUAUACAUACAUACAUACAUAUAUAUAAACAAUAUAUAUAUAUUUGGUUGGGCUGGUUUGUAUCGUAUGAUCUUGACUUUGUAGCAUGAAAUAAAUCACAACCUUGUGAACCGA
Clupea harengus (Atlantic herring) is the source of this 1733-nucleotide long non-coding RNA. RefSeq lists it as uncharacterized. The record is from RefSeq and is a predicted model, not a curated record. The transcript has 2 exons. Lineage: Eukaryota; Metazoa; Chordata; Actinopteri; Clupeiformes; Clupeidae.